Molecule: long non-coding RNA, 680 nt
Filed under: Coffea arabica (coffee)
Lineage: Eukaryota; Viridiplantae; Streptophyta; Magnoliopsida; Gentianales; Rubiaceae
Description: long non-coding RNA (CARA_LNC006804)
Source: RNAcentral
AGAUUUGUCUAUUUCUCAAAUUAGGGCAAAAACCUUAAACCUUCUUCAUCGAGUUUACUUGUAAUUAGUGAUGGCACAAGAAAAAAUUUGCAAGUGUGGUGAGCCAGCAAAGAUGUUUACCUCUUGGACAAACAACCCUAGGAGAAGGUACUACUCUUGUGACAUUAGGAAGGUAUGGGAUUUUAUGUACCUUUCUAGUUAUGAAUGCAAUUCUCCCUAUUUUAAUUUUUUUCUCUGUUUUAUGGAUUGAAAGUGUAGCAGAGAUUGCAAUGGUUGCAACUACUUUGAAUGGCAUGACCCAACCAUGUACCAAAGAUGUACUGCACUAAUUCCUGGUCUGUUAAGAAUUAUGAACAACAAGGAUAUGAUGAUUGAAAGACUAAGAGCAAGAGAACGGAAGUUGGUGAUGGAAAUUGUGGUGUUGUUGAUAUUACUAUUGAUUAGUUUGCUAGUCUAGAGCUCCAUUGAUAUUUAAACUACAUCAAAGGCAUGGGAUGAACAUAGACAGAAAGAUGGGAACAAUUCGGCCAAGUUGUUGAGGUAAUGUUGGCCACUGGAUUCAUUGGCGACAUGUUUUGUGGAUGAAUGUUUAGUUUGUGAUGUAAUUGUAAUCUAGCAUCUAUGUUUUGCACAUGCUAAUGAAAAAUUGGUUGGCUAAAUGGUCAUCUUUUGGAUUUUAG